This 450-nucleotide ribosomal RNA is filed under the name uncultured bacterium. Its description in RNAcentral is "partial 16S ribosomal RNA". It matches the Rfam family "Bacterial small subunit ribosomal RNA", at positions 354 to 796 of the family's 1533-position model. The record is from RNAcentral.
GUGGGGAAUAUUGGACAAUGGGCGCAAGCCUGAUCCAGCCAUACCGCGUGGGUGAAGAAGGCCUUCGGGUUGUAAAGCCCUUUUGUUGGGAAAGAAAUCCUGUCGAUUAAUACUCGGUGGGGAUGACGGUACCCAAAGAAUAAGCACCGGCUAACUUCGUGCCAGCAGCCGCGGUAAUACGAAGGGUGCAAGCGUUACUCGGAAUUACUGGGCGUAAAGCGUGCGUAGGUGGUGGUUUAAGUCCGUUGUGAAAGCCCUGGGCUCAACCUGGGAAUUGCAGUGGAUACUGGAUCACUAGAGUGUGGUAGAGGGAUGCGGAAUUUCUGGUGUAGCAGUGAAAUGCGUAGAGAUCAGAAGGAACAUCCGUGGCGAAGGCGGCAUCCUGGGCCAACACUGACACCGAGGCACGAAAGCGUGGGGAGCAAACAGGAUUAGAUACCCCUGUAGUCC